RNAcentral lists this ribosomal RNA (494 nucleotides) under uncultured bacterium. Its description in RNAcentral is "partial 16S ribosomal RNA". It matches the Rfam family "Bacterial small subunit ribosomal RNA", at positions 28 to 507 of the family's 1533-position model. The record is from RNAcentral.
GACGAACGCUGGCGGCGUGCCUAAUACAUGCAAGUAGAACGCUGAAGGAGGAGCUUGCUUCUCUGGAUGAGUUGCGAACGGGUGAGUAACGCGUAGGUAACCUGCCUGGUAGCGGGGGAUAACUAUUGGAAACGAUAGCUAAUACCGCAUAAGAGUAGAUGUCGCAUGACAUUUGCUUAAAGGUGCAAUUGCAUCACUACCAGAUGGACCUGCGUUGUAUUAGCUAGUUGGUGAGGUAACGGCUCACCAAGGCAACGAUACAUAGCCGACCUGAGAGGGUGAUCGGCCACACUGGGACUGAGACACGGCCCAGACUCCUACGGGAGGCAGCAGUAGGGAAUCUUCGGCAAUGGACGGAAGUCUGACCGAGCAACGCCGCGUGAGUGAAGAAGGUUUUCGGAUCGUAAAGCUCUGUUGUAAGAGAAGAACGAGUGUGAGAGUGGAAAGUUCACACUGCGACGGUAUCUUACCAGAAAGGGACGGCUAACUACGUG